GGAACAAUGGCGUAGUUGGUUAUCGCAUCUGUCUCACAUAGACUGACAGAAGGUUCCAGUUCGAAUCUGGGUUGUUCGU
Non-coding RNA from Pluteus cervinus, 79 nucleotides. The record is from the annotation of a GenBank genome assembly. Lineage: Eukaryota; Fungi; Basidiomycota; Agaricomycetes; Agaricales; Pluteaceae.